CUCAAGCUCUCCAUCCUCCUGUUUCAGCCUCCAGAGUGCUGAGGUUACAGCUGUGAAUGCCCUUGAACUGGGGAAACCUUUGCCUAGAAACCCUUUGCAAGAAGUGACACAGAGAUUAAGAGAAAGCAGGCAUCUGAAGAGUACAGUGGCACGUGGGUUCUGAGGGCAGAUUCCAUCUGCUGUGGUCAUCCAGGUCCAUCCUGUCAUCUGGGAAAGAGGGCUGAGGACUGGAUUUUACAUGCCAUGUUCCAUUGGCAUGGGCUGAACCACUACUGUUUAUUGAGCAAUGCACACAGGUGAUGAUGACCAAGACAGACAGACACUCUAGUUCUACCAACCUCGCUAUCUGUAUUAGUGACUUUUCGUCUUGAUGCAACAAAAUACCCAUCAAAGGAACUUAAUGGAAGGAAGGGCUUGUCCUGGCUCACAGUUCAAGGGUCCCCCCUCCUUCUGCUCUGCUGGCGCUCGACCCAGAAGGCAGAGUCUCUCAAUCAAGCCAGAGCCCACCAUUUGGCUGGUAUUGCUUCUCAACUUAUUCUAGGAACCUCCCUAAGCACGGAUCUAUCUCUAUUUCCUGUUUCUUCUUGGUCUUUUUGAGGUAGAGUCUCACUAUAUAGUCCAAAUUGGCCUGUUCCUGCCUCUGGGUGACUGGGGUUCCAUAUGUAGACCAUUAAGACUGCUUUUGCUGUCGUUUUAAAAGCUCCAAACAGCCUCAGUUUCCCUCUCUGGGAAACGAGGGUAAUGGUGCCUCCUG
RNAcentral lists this long non-coding RNA (754 nucleotides) under Mus musculus (house mouse). RNAcentral describes it as "predicted gene, 36855". Lineage: Eukaryota; Metazoa; Chordata; Mammalia; Rodentia; Muridae. The record is from RNAcentral.